RNAcentral lists this long non-coding RNA (1450 nucleotides) under Numida meleagris (helmeted guineafowl). RNAcentral describes it as "lncRNA (ENSNMEG00000005603.1)". The record is from RNAcentral. Lineage: Eukaryota; Metazoa; Chordata; Aves; Galliformes; Numididae.
CUGGUGACCAUUAUGGCGAGCACAGCGUCGGACAUACCGCAGCUGCUCUGCUGCCGGAAGAUGGAAAUGUUUUUGGAAGCAAGUUCGGAGCAUUUGUUCCAUUCAUGCCUGCUCCCUCCCUCCUCCUGCCCUCUAUUUUUCAAAUUGCUGCAAGAAAAACCUGAAGGGAAGUGUGAAGAGUCCUGUUUGGCACAUGAGGAACAGAAAGUCGAUGAUUUUACCCCAGGUCACACGAGAAGCUGGCAGCAACCUCAGGAAUCACGAGGAACUCCUUGGGAUGUGGAGCGUGCCCCUGAGUCCUCCGGAGGCUGGCCCAGCCUGGUGGCACAUCUUGGUCAUCCCCUGGCUCCAAGGAGGUUGGCUGAGAUCCCUGAAGAGGGAAAGGUGGCAGAAGCUGGCUGCUGUGUGUCAAGAGGUCCCUUUUAGGUACUGGAUGAUAUCCCCUUUUGUUAAGUGCCACUGUCCUACAUGGCCCAAUUCUUUAAAAAAGGAAAAAGAAAUGCAAAAGAGGCAGAGAGAAAGGGAAAGAGCCCUUCCUCGCAGGUCCUUUCCUCAGAAAGACGCAUCAUGCUUGGUUUCCCAGAGAAUGAGUCACACGCGGCCUCGCCAGCAUCCUGCCUCUCACAGCAAGAUGGAGGAGGGGUGAGAAGGUGUUGGGCUGGAAUUUCCAAGAAAAAGAGAACUUCCAAAGAAGAGCUGAGCGUGUGCUGUCACGGAAGUAACGCUGCCACCACCACGUUGAUAUGUUUUGUAACUUCCUGACAUCGGCAUGCUGGAGGUGGCCUCCAGCAUGGGGAUGCAAAGCUGAGCACCACGGAGGAGGAAAUUCAGCCUGUCCUUCUGAUAACACCUUUGAGACGGGAUCAGCACUUCUCUCUCAAUAAUUAACACAAGCAAGCAGGCUUGGGUUUUUUUGCCACAAAGCAACAGGCGUGCUGUAGUCCUGAAAGCAAACACCCAGUGGCACAGAUUUCUGUAACAAAUAGCUAUUUCUGCACUUUCUGUAGAGUUUUUUUUAAAUUUUGUAGCUGUUUAACAUUAGGUUACAGAUAGACACCACAUAUUUCUUUGGUCUGCACUCCCAAGUGUGACUUUCUUGCCUUGAUUUUUGGAUGACUAGCUAGUAUCUAUCCUUUCAAAACUGUGGGUUGCCUUGGAAGAGGGCAGUCAGAAUUAGUCAGGGUAAGUCUGACUAUGCAGAUCUGGGGAAGGUUGAAGGUCCUUUCAUUGCCUUAGGGUUAAAUAACUUCAAGACAGCCUCUCUACAACCUGCUGUGUCCGCCUCUGACUCUCCAUACACUGCAUCUCCAUCUUCUGUCUAUCUAUGCCCUGCCUCUCCAUACCUUGCCUAUCCAACAUCUACCUCUCCAUUCCCUUCUUCUGCACAUCUUUUCUCUCCAUCCUUUGCUUCUCCAUUGCCUGCCCCACAAUAAAGCUGCCUUCACCCACA